UAAUACGGAGGGUGCAAGCGUUAAUCGGAAUUACUGGGCGUAAAGAGUACGUAGGCGGCUUUUCAAGUCGGGUGUGAAAUCCCUGAGCUUAACUCAGGAACUGCAUUCGAUACUGGAUCGCUAGAGUAUAUUAGAGGAUAGUGGAAUUUCAAGUGUAGCGGUGAAAUGCGUAGAUAUUUGAAGGAACACCAAUGGCGAAGGCAGCUAUCUGGAACAAUACUGACGCUGAGGUACGAAAGCGUGGGGAGCAAACAGGAUUAGAUACCCUGGUAGUCCACGCCGUAAACGAUGAGAACUAGACGUUGGAUAUUUAUAUCUAGUGUCGCAGCUAACGCAUUAAGUUCUCCGCCUGGGGAGUACGGCCGCAAGGUUG
This 373-nucleotide ribosomal RNA is filed under the name uncultured Gammaproteobacteria bacterium. Its description in RNAcentral is "bacterial SSU rRNA". It matches the Rfam family "Bacterial small subunit ribosomal RNA", at positions 521 to 896 of the family's 1533-position model. Lineage: Bacteria; Pseudomonadati; Pseudomonadota; Gammaproteobacteria. The record is from RNAcentral.